Molecule: unclassified non-coding RNA, 301 nt
Filed under: uncultured fungus
Lineage: Eukaryota; Fungi
Description: partial contains small subunit ribosomal RNA, internal transcribed spacer 1, and 5.8S ribosomal RNA
Rfam family: Eukaryotic small subunit ribosomal RNA (bases 1-73)
Source: RNAcentral
GCAAACUUGGUCAUUUAGAGGAAGUAAAAGUCGUAACAAGGUUUCCGUAGGUGAACCUGCGGAAGGAUCAUUACCAAUCAUGUCUCCCAGCCGAAAGGUUGGUGCAGGCUUUCAACCCUUUGUGAACCAAAAAACCUUUCGCUUCGGCAGCAGCCCGGUUGGGAACAACCUCCGCGUCAGCCUGCCGGUAGCACCGUAAAAACUUGCAGUUGAUAACAUUGUCUGAUUACCAAAUUUUCGAAUGAAAAUCAAAACUUUCAACAACGGAUCUCUUGGUUCCCGCAUCGAUGAAGAACGCAGC